UACGUAGGGCGCAAGCGUUAUCCGGAAUUAUUGGGCGUAAAGGGUCCGUAGGCGGUUGAUUAAGUCCUUUGUUAAAGCUCCUGGCUUAACCAGGAAAGGGCAGAGGAUACUAAUUAACUAGAGUAGAUUCGGGGCUACUGGAAUUUGCCAUGUAGGGGUGAAAUCCGUGGAUAUGGCAAGGAACACCGAGGGCGAAGGCGGGUGGCUAGGAUUUUACUGACGCUCAGGGACGAAAGCUAGGGGAGCAAACUGGAUUAGAUACCCGCGUA
RNAcentral lists this ribosomal RNA (269 nucleotides) under uncultured prokaryote. RNAcentral describes it as "partial 16S ribosomal RNA". It matches the Rfam family "Bacterial small subunit ribosomal RNA", at positions 524 to 792 of the family's 1533-position model. The record is from RNAcentral.